GAUGAACGCUGGCGGCGUGCCUAAUACAUGCAAGUCGAGCGAACAGACGAGGAGCUUGCUCCUCUGACGUUAGCGGCGGACGGGUGAGUAGCACGUGGAUAACCUACCUAUAAGACUGGGAUAACUUCGGGAAACCGGAGCUAAUACCGGAUAAUAUAUUGAACCGCAUGGUUCAAUAGUGAAAGACGGUUUUGCUGUCACUUAUAGAUGGAUCCGCGCCGCAUUAGCUAGUUGGUAAGGUAACGGCUUACCAAGGCGACGAUGCGUAGCCGACCUGAGAGGGUGAUCGGCCACACUGGAACUGAGACACGGUCCAGACUCCUACGGGAGGCAGCAGUAGGGAAUCUUCCGCAAUGGGCGAAAGCCUGACGGAGCAUCGCCGCGUGAGUGAUGAAGGUCUUCGGAUCGUAAAACUCUGUUAUUAGGGAAGAACAAAUGUGUAAGUAACUAUGCACGUCUUGACGGUACCUAAUCAGAAAGCCACGGCUAACUACGUG
RNAcentral lists this ribosomal RNA (497 nucleotides) under uncultured bacterium. Its description in RNAcentral is "partial 16S ribosomal RNA". It matches the Rfam family "Bacterial small subunit ribosomal RNA", at positions 28 to 507 of the family's 1533-position model. The record is from RNAcentral.